ACGUAGGGUGCGAGCGUUAAUCGGAAUUACUGGGCGUAAAGCGUGCGCAGGCGGUUGUGUAAGACAGAUGUGAAAUCCCCGGGCUCAACCUGGGAACUGCGUUUGUGACUGCACGGCUAGAGUACGGCAGAGGGGGGUGGAAUUCCUGGUGUAGCAGUGAAAUGCGUAGAUAUCAGGAGGAACAUCGAUGGCGAAGGCAGCCCCCUGGGCCGAUACUGACGCUCAUGCACGAAAGCGUGGGGAGCAAACAGGA
This 253-nucleotide ribosomal RNA is filed under the name uncultured prokaryote. Its description in RNAcentral is "partial 16S ribosomal RNA". It matches the Rfam family "Bacterial small subunit ribosomal RNA", at positions 525 to 777 of the family's 1533-position model. The record is from RNAcentral.